Molecule: non-coding RNA, 896 nt
Filed under: Pongo abelii (Sumatran orangutan)
Lineage: Eukaryota; Metazoa; Chordata; Mammalia; Primates; Hominidae
Source: RNAcentral
CGGUUGAAUGGACUCACCAGGAAAUGUGACUUUCGUGUCCGACCUCUGCUGUAUCAGGAUUCGAGUCUCGGUGUUAAACAAGACAACACUGAAGGCUCGGUGUAGCAGCCCUGCAAAGGAGUGGAGCCCCAACCCACGCAGGGUGUGUCUUCAUGGCUUUUCCUGGCCAGUCUGAUACCAAGAUGCAGUGGCCAGAAGUGCCUGCACUUCCGCUCCUGUCAAGUCUCUGCAUGGCUGUGGUGAGGAAGAGCUCUGCACUGGGCAAGGAAGUUGGCCGUCGAGUGAAGGAAAUGGUGAUGCUGGUGGCCCCUUUCCUGCAGUCAAGUUCCCUAUCAAGGACAUUCAGUUCUCGGAAAGUGUUGAAGGCACACGCUUCCCUGCAUGGUGCCCGCUUCUCUCCAUUCUCUAGAAAUAUUAGAGGCUAGGCUGCUGCUGUAUGUCAGGGCUAGUCCCUCUUUUAUGAAUCCAGAAUAACUCUGAAGAAGCCCAGUAAAAGGCAUGAAGUGAAGAGAAAUCGCUGUAACAGGAAGACAGCAAAGCAGAUGCUAAUGACUACACUAUUUAACGAACUGGAACCAACAAGAAAAUACAGUAUUACUGAAGACUGCACUUCCUUGAACAGAGUGCUCUUCUCAGCAAAUCGGAAAUGCCUACACAAAUUGCUUUACAAGAAAGACUAUUUUAAAACAGCACCUUUCUCAAUGUUCUCAUUCAGGUGACAAUUCUUCUUGGUCUCAGCCCCAAUUUUAUUGUCAUUUUCAUCAAUAAGGAUACACAUCUCUGCCAGGAGUUGAACCUGUUGCUUGUCGAGGUGGUCAGUGUUUAUUUCAGGCAUCAUUACAAAAUGUCUUAUCUGUCCUAGAACACUAAUAUUAAAGGAAAAGAGAAAGAAAGGC